This 194-nucleotide ribosomal RNA is filed under the name uncultured bacterium. Its description in RNAcentral is "partial 16S ribosomal RNA". It matches the Rfam family "Bacterial small subunit ribosomal RNA", at positions 338 to 524 of the family's 1533-position model. The record is from RNAcentral.
CCUACGGGAGGCAGCAGUAGGGAAUUUUCCACAAUGGACGAAAGUCUGAUGGAGCAACGCCGCGUGAGUGAAGAAGGGUUUCGGCUCGUAAAACUCUGUUGUUAGAGAAGAACAGCCGUGAGAGCAACUGCUCACGGUAUGACGGUAUCUAACCAGAAAGUCACGGCUAACUACGUGCCAGCAGCCGCGGUAAU